Long non-coding RNA from Lolium perenne, 1140 nucleotides. RefSeq lists it as uncharacterized. The record is from RefSeq and is a predicted model, not a curated record. NCBI's taxonomy places the organism in Eukaryota, Viridiplantae, Streptophyta, Magnoliopsida, Poales, Poaceae.
CUCUCAUUAUCUGACACAAAUCACCACGGCCAGGGGAGGCCAACAUCGAGGAGGAAGCGCGGCACAUAGAUGGCUCCGCCAAGCCGUGGACGCCGAGCAAGGAGGAGGCGCUGCGCACGGACGGCUUCGCCAACCGCCGCCGCAGAGCGAGGAAGAGGCAGUGCGCACGAACGGAUUUGCCGACAGCCGCCGUGUGGAGGCGCCACGGCCGGGCCUCCGCGGGGAGGCUGAUGCCGCCGAGCACCACCUCGGGAGGCCCCACGGCCUGGAGGUGGAUGCUCGACAGGAGGAAUCCGCCGCCGCGGAGCACGCGGCUAGGAGGCGCCUCGCUGGGACUGGGAGGUGGAGUCUCCUCCGCUCGUCGCCGGCACCUAUGCGAGGGAUGGGCGAGUAGGUGGACUAGCUCCAUGGGCGCGACGAGCUCCCGUGGCUCGUGGGCCUGCUCUGCGCCACCGUCUCGCGCAUGCGUGCGCUCGGGCUGGAGCUCGCCUUCCUCGACGCCGCCUCAUCCUCCCCCAGGUUGUCACCAUGUCCUUUCCUGCGCCGUCGAGGCACACAACCCUCGGAGUCGUUUAGUUUUACCGCUCGUGUGGCCACAGCCUCCUGCUUGUCGCCGCCAGGUGAGGUCCUAGAGGUGCUCCUCGCGGAGGGCUUCGUCAAGCGCCUCCAGCGCCCCAACCUUGGCGGCUUGCUCAUCGAACGAUGGUGAGCACGGCAUGGAGAGUGGUGGUGCUCUAGAGAUGGUGUGGUCAAUUUGGCGGAGGAGCUGCUGCCAGUACGAUCUACAUCGCUACUCCUGGUAGCAUCGUCCUGACAUCCACUAGAACGAAACGAUCGCAGAGUGAAAUAAAUCAAGGACUGAAAUAUUUUGGCUAAUGAUGUCGCAGAAUGUAGUGAAGACAGAAGAUACUCUAGUGAUUUUGACUACAGCCACAAUAGUGGAUUUUUACUUUUCUCUGACUUUGGUAUAACUUGUGAAACCUUCUUUUCCCCGUAGCAGUACUAGCUUGAAGGAAUCAUGAUGUACUAGAUUUAGAUGUGCGCCUUGGCGCACGGCCCCGUGGAUUUCACAUCUCAAUAGUAAAAAAUAGUUGAAAAAACGAUAAUAUUUAUAAAUUUGAAUUAUCCUAUUCAAAGUCA